CGCGAAGAGGUGAAACAUGGCCUAGAUCGUCCGAUCUAGGACUUUCUUAGCAAAUCCGAGACUGUGAGCUAAUAAAGCAAGUGUAAAGGGACCGAAUCGUGGUCUGCUGGUGGUUCAGAAAUUCAACUUUGGCCUUUGACGACAAAGAUCGGUGGUUUGGCAUUUGCAUUGAGUCGGCCUUCAAAAUCCCAUCGCCGGAGCCGGUAGACCCUACCAGUGCAUUUCCCCAUGGCAAACGGCCAUUCAAGUGUUCGAAUUAAAGAUGGCCAAGGAUCAAGAUUGCAAAUGUUGAGAGGUUUCCUCUUUGUUUGACCAAUGAGAACUUUCCACCCUUCACGUAAAGCUCAAAAUUCAGCUCAAUGUUAGGCAAGAAUUAUUAUUUGUGCACACCAAUUCUCUUUUUUUAUAUUUAUGGUCUGGGUUCGACUACAACUUUCUGGAUCUCCAUCAUUGACAGCCGGGAAGUUGGGAUCAUUGAAUGAUGAGAGAGAAGUCUUACGUUAUAAGCAUUAGCAUGUAAUUAAUUAAGUCAUCGAAGAAACUUUUUCGAUCAAUGAGUAUUUCGGAUUAUGGGUGAAACCAAUGAGGAUUGAAUCAUUAUUGCAGCUUUGAGUUUAAUGUAAUCAGUUGAGAUUUGCAUGUUGGGUCAGCUUUGAUGUUGAGCCUUGUGCUCUAAGAAUGUAUGAUUGAUCCUUACCAUAUGCUAACCAGUGGCAUACAAAAUCUUUGUUUGUGUAAAA
Long non-coding RNA from Syzygium oleosum, 740 nucleotides. RefSeq lists it as uncharacterized. Lineage: Eukaryota; Viridiplantae; Streptophyta; Magnoliopsida; Myrtales; Myrtaceae. The record is from RefSeq and is a predicted model, not a curated record. The transcript is spliced from 2 exons.